GAUGAACGCUGGCGGCGUGCCUAAUACAUGCAAGUCGAGCGAACGGACGAGAAGCUUGCUUCUCUGAUGUUAGCGGCGGACGGGUGAGUAACACGUGGAUCACCUACCUAUAAUACUGGGAUAACUUCGGGAAUCCGGCUCUAAUACCGGAUAAUAUUUUGAACCGCAUGGUUCAAAAGUGAAUGACGGUCUUGCUGUCUCUUAUAGAUGGAUCCGCGCUGCAUUAGCUAGUUGGUAAGGUAACGGCUUACCAAGGCAACGAUGCAUAGCCGACCUGAGAGGGGGAUCGGCCACACGGGAACGGAGACACGGACCAGACUCCUACGGGAGGGAGCAGAAGGGAAUCUUCCGCAAUGGGCGAAAGCCUGACGGAGCAACGCCGCGUGAGUGAUGAAGGUCUUCGGAGCGUAAAACUCUGUUAUGAGGGAAGAACAGAUGUGUAAGUAACUGUGCACAUAUUGACGGUAACUAAUCAGAAAGCCACGGCUAACUACGUG
This 497-nucleotide ribosomal RNA is filed under the name uncultured bacterium. RNAcentral describes it as "partial 16S ribosomal RNA". It matches the Rfam family "Bacterial small subunit ribosomal RNA", at positions 28 to 507 of the family's 1533-position model. The record is from RNAcentral.